RNAcentral lists this ribosomal RNA (253 nucleotides) under uncultured bacterium. Its description in RNAcentral is "partial 16S ribosomal RNA". It matches the Rfam family "Bacterial small subunit ribosomal RNA", at positions 524 to 776 of the family's 1533-position model. The record is from RNAcentral.
CACGGGGGGAGCAAGCGUUGUUCGGAAUCACUGGGCGUAAAGGGCGUGUAGGCGGUCAAGUAAGUGGAAUGUGAAAUCCCCCGGCUUACCCGGGGACCGGCAUCCCAUACUGCUUGGCUUGAGUACGGGAGAGGAUGUGGGAAUUCCUGGUGUAGCGGUGAAAUGCGUAGAUAUCAGGAGGAACACCGGUGGCGAAGGCGGCAUCCUGGACCGAGAUUGACGCUGAGGCGCGAAAGCCAGGGGAGCAAACGGG